GCUGAAGGGCGCGCGGUGCCGACAGGGAGCUUCCUUGGCUGGCAUGGCGGCGAGCGCGCUGCGAGGCCUGCCAGUGGCUGGCGGAGGCGAGAGUAGCGAGAGCGAGGAUGACGGCUGGGAGAUUGGGUAUCUCGACCGGACGUCUCAGAAAUUGAAAGGGCUGUUACCCAUUGAAGAAAAGAAAGAAAAAUUUAAGAAAGCAAUGACCAUCGGAGAUGUUUCAUUGGUCCAGGAGCUCCUAGAUUCUGGCAUUAGUGUAGAUUCCACCUUUCAGUAUGGAUGGACUCCCCUUAUGUAUGCUGCUAGUGUUGCCAAUGCAGAGCUGGUUCGGGUCCUUUUGGACAGAGGUGCUAAUGCAAGCUUUGAGAAGGAUAAGCAAAGUAUUUUGAUAACUGCAUGUUCUGCUCAUGGCUCAGAGGAACAGAUCUUGAAGUGUGUAGAACUACUACUUUCAAGAAAUGCUGAUCCAAAUGUUGCUUGUAGGCUUUAACGUGGGCAGCACGUCAGGGUCAUAAAAAUAUAGUUUUGAAGUUGCUUGAACUUGGAGCUAAUAAAAUGCUACAAACCAAAGAUGGAAAGAUGCCAAGUGAGAUUGCAAAAAGAAACAAACAUCAUGAGGAAAACUUCAACAGCUAACUAAAGAAGACACUAUUUGUAAAAUAUUGACAACAGAUUCUGAUAGAGAAAAAGAUCACAUUUUUAGUUCAUAUACAGCAUUUGGAGAUCUGGAAGUAUUUUUACAUGGUCUUGGACUUGAACAUAUGACAGAUAUACUAAAGGAAAGGGAUAUAACGUUAAGACACCUUUUGACCAUGAGGGAAGAUGAAUUUACAAAGAAUGGAAUUACCAGUAAAGACCAGCAGAAAAUUCUGGCUGCUCUUAAAGAACUACAGGUAGAAGAGAUACAAUUUGGAGAGCUAUCUGAAGAGACAAAGUUGGAAAUCAGUGGUGAUGAGUUCCUCAACUUUCUUCUCAAAUUAAAUAAACAGUGUGGCCAUUUAAUAACAGCUGUACAGAAUGUUAUUACUGAGUUACCUGUAAAUUCUCAAAAGGUAUUCUACAAAAGUUAUUAAGUGAAGAAAAGUAUGAACACUGAAGAACAUUCCAGAUAAGUUCAUAAUUCAAUAAAUAGUAUUGAUUUGCUGAAAUUACAUCGUUUGUUCUGCAAAAUCACAUAAGAUCUAAAUAAGUCAAUUUGUUUAAUAUUACUCCUUUACAUAUUGAUUUUAAAACUUUGUAUUCUUGCCCUCAAGAAAAAGAAAAUGAGUCAGACCAAAAAUUAAACUGAUCCGUGUAUUGAAUUUACCAUGUGUUCUUUUUUAAAAUAUAAAGUGACAGGAGACCCAAGUGAAAAUGGAAAUAAAACAGUGUGUUAUUUAAAAACCAUAUCAAUAAAAUAUUUUUAAAUAAAUUUAGAAUAGGAAGAGUGUAAGUGGCCGGGCAUAGUGGCUCACAUCCGUAAUCCUAACACUUUGGGAGACCUACGUGGGAGAAUUGCUUGAGGCCAGGAGUUUGAGACCAGCCUGAGCAGCAUGGUGACACGACCCUGUCUCUACAAAGAAUUUUUAAAAAUUAGCUGCGCAUGAUGGCGUGUGCCUCUAGUCCUAGCUGAAAAUUAGCUGGGCAUGAUGGCAUGCACCUGUGGUCCUAGCUAUUCAGGAGGCUGAGGCAGGAGGAUCACUUGAUCCCAAGAGGUUAAGGCAGCAGUGAGCCAUGAUUGCACCACUGCACUCCAGCCUGGGCAACAGAACAAGACACUUUCUCAAAAAAAAGAAAGAAAAAGUGUAAGUGGCCUGCAAAAGCAGCUUAUUUCAUGUGAUUAGGUUUUAGCUGUUUGUCUUAGUGAAAGUUUUUUAAUGCACUUGUUUUCCAGUGAUUUUUAUAUAACAUCAAUUAAUAUGAGAAUCAUCAUUUUAAAAACCUUCGUGAACUGAUUUGUUCAUCAUAAAUGUUAUUACUAAUAUUAAUCUCCAUAUAGAAAGUUAUAUAUACAUAUAUUCAGGAAAUGCAUUUGGCAAGCUCAUUUGAUUAUAUGUUUAUAAAAUUACUUAUUUUUGGUGUCAAUAUUUAUCCUAAACAAAAAAAUGCCUUUCAAUUAUAUAAUCUAAUGUUUAAGAAUGUUGUAUAAUCUUUGUGGAUAUAAAGUUGUAGAAAGUUAUUUCCAUUAUUUAAUGUUGAACUUUUGAAAAUAUUAACAGAUAACACUGGAAUGGGCUUCUCCCCAGAAUUUUACUUCAGUUUGUGAAGAAUUGGUUAAUAAUGUUGAAGAUUUGAGUGAAAAGGUCUGCAAACUAAAAGACCUAAUUCAAAAGUUGCAAAAUGAACGGGAAAGUGAUCCAACUCAUAUACAAUUAAGGGAAGAAGUAUCUACAUGGAAUAGUAGAAUUUUGAAGAGGACAGCUAUUACCAUAUGCGGAUUCGGUUUUCUUCUUUUCAUUUGCAAGCUAACUUUCCAGAGGAAAUAAUCCAAAUAUUUGUUUUAAGUUAUAUAUACACAUCUUAUUGAACCAUCCAAAAAUCAUUGCUUUUAACUAUUUGCAGCACAAUAUAACUUUACAUUCUUUGCCAAUAUUCCAUAGGAAAAAUUUUGACAAUGUGGAGUUUUUUUUUAAAAAGUGGUUUGUUACUUUGACUUAUAAAUACAAUUUGUUAUGUUUAUGUUAAUUGUGAUUAGGCAGUAAAGUAUAAGUAAUUUUUUGGUUUGAUCGUAUGUAAAUCACAUUCAAAAUUAAAGUUAUAUCGAAUAUCUUUGA
RNAcentral lists this small RNA (2753 nucleotides) under Pan troglodytes (chimpanzee). RNAcentral's name for it is "retained intron". The record is from RNAcentral. Lineage: Eukaryota; Metazoa; Chordata; Mammalia; Primates; Hominidae.